GGGGAUAUGACUCAGUGGUAGAGUGCUUUCCUGGCAUGCAUGAGGCACUGGGUUCAAUCCCCAGCACCACCA
RNAcentral lists this transfer RNA (72 nucleotides) under Ictidomys tridecemlineatus (thirteen-lined ground squirrel). RNAcentral's name for it is "Spermophilus tridecemlineatus (thirteen-lined ground squirrel) tRNA". It matches the Rfam family "tRNA". From Rfam's summary of the family: Transfer RNA (tRNA) molecules are approximately 80 nucleotides in length. Their secondary structure includes four short double-helical elements and three loops (D, anti-codon, and T loops). Lineage: Eukaryota; Metazoa; Chordata; Mammalia; Rodentia; Sciuridae. The record is from Rfam by way of RNAcentral.